CGAGCGAGAGGCGCACGACGAGCAUUUUUCUUUCUCGAUUCCCGGCUCGUUUUUUCCGUCAAUUCUUUUUCUUCGUUCCUUCCCUGUUCUCUCGCUCGCUUCUCUUCGCUGCUUCGUUCCCCCCUUUAUUCCUCCCCCGCUCCGCUCGCGCCAAUCGAUCUCCUUCCCCAUCUCGUCUCGAAGCUGCUAGACGCUUCGGGGGGCGGAAAUCGGCGCCCGGCCGCCCGACCAUGGUCUCCUGGCGGCGCAGCGCGUCCUGGCUGUCGUCCGCCUCCCGCUCCUCGCUCGGCGGCGCCGUCGGCGG
RNAcentral lists this long non-coding RNA (304 nucleotides) under Setaria italica (foxtail millet). RNAcentral describes it as "long non-coding RNA (SITA_LNC001120)". The record is from RNAcentral. Lineage: Eukaryota; Viridiplantae; Streptophyta; Magnoliopsida; Poales; Poaceae.